GACGAACGCUGGCGGCGUGCCUAACACAUGCAAGUCGAACGCUGACGGCUGGUACUUGUACCCAUUGGAUGUGCAGCGAACGGGUGAGUAACGCGUGGAGACUCUGCUUCUGAGCGGGGGAAAACAUUGGGAAACGAAUGCUAAUACCGCAUCAAAACUUUUAACACAAGUUUUAAGUGUGAAUGAUGCAAUUGCAUCACUCAUAGCUGCUUCUGCGUUUUAUUAGCUAGUUGGUGAGGUAAAAGCCCACCAAGGCGAUGCUGCCUAGCCGGCCUGAGAGGGCGAUCGGCCACCUUGGGACUGAGACCCGGCCCAAUCGGCUUCAGGAGGCAGCAAGAGGGAAACGUCGGCAAUGGACGGAAAUCUGGCCAAACAACGCCGCGGGAGGGAAGAAGGUUUUCGGGUCGGGAAACUCUGUUGGUAGGGAAGAACGUUCGUGAGGGUGGGAAGCUGAUCAAGUGACGGUAACUACAGAAGAAGCGACGGCUAACUACGUG
This 497-nucleotide ribosomal RNA is filed under the name uncultured bacterium. RNAcentral describes it as "partial 16S ribosomal RNA". It matches the Rfam family "Bacterial small subunit ribosomal RNA", at positions 28 to 507 of the family's 1533-position model. The record is from RNAcentral.